Pelobates cultripes (western spadefoot toad) is the source of this 424-nucleotide non-coding RNA. The record is from the annotation of a GenBank genome assembly. NCBI's taxonomy places the organism in Eukaryota, Metazoa, Chordata, Amphibia, Anura, Pelobatidae.
CCAGCAUGCAUGAUUGGCAGGCAGCCGGACAUGCAUUAAUGCUAGACUAGCCUUCCAAUUCUUUGGGCAGACACGCCUCCUUUUGGGCAUGUUCGGCCCUUUCGGAAUUUCUGGUUACAUAAUCCGCAUCACUGACCCACCCUUUUACACCGCCCAUUGACUUCCUGCUUGACUGGACACUGCUGUUAGGGAGUAUGGAUUUACUUGAAAGAUGAAAGCAUAAUUUAGAGAGAGAUUAGCAUAUUUUAGGAGAACUGAGUUUUCUUAUAGCUGCAUCCUAUGAGUUUCCCUCCGGCAACAUCUCCACCAGAUACAUAAUGCUUGAGAGGUAUGUCUGUUUCAGUUUUUUUGGUCGAUAAGAUUCUGUACUUAGGCCCCUCAUAAUUGUCAGCACCAGGCCCACUGGGCUCUUAAUCCGGCCCUG